This 71-nucleotide transfer RNA is filed under the name Thermoleophilaceae bacterium. Its description in RNAcentral is "tRNA-Asn". It matches the Rfam family "tRNA". Rfam says of the family: Transfer RNA (tRNA) molecules are approximately 80 nucleotides in length. Their secondary structure includes four short double-helical elements and three loops (D, anti-codon, and T loops). Lineage: Bacteria; Bacillati; Actinomycetota; Thermoleophilia; Thermoleophilales; Thermoleophilaceae. RNAcentral also lists the same sequence under 1 other name. The record is from RNAcentral.
UCCCCGAUGAUGUAAUGGCAACAUGCCUGACUGUUAAUCAGGUCAUGGUGGUUCGAGUCCACCUCGGGGAG